Molecule: ribosomal RNA, 468 nt
Filed under: uncultured bacterium
Lineage: Bacteria
Description: partial 16S ribosomal RNA
Rfam family: Bacterial small subunit ribosomal RNA
Source: RNAcentral
GACGAACGCUGGCGGCGUGCUUAACACAUGCAAGUCGAACGGAAAGGCCCUGCUUUUGUGGGGUGCUCGAGUGGCGAACGGGUGAGUAACACGUGAGUAACCUGCCCUUGACUUUGGGAUAACUUCAGGAAACUGGGGCUAAUACCGGAUAGGAGCUCCUGCUCCAUGGUGGGGGUUGGAAAGUUUCGGCGGUUGGGGAUGGACUCGCGGCUUAUCAGCUUGUUGGUGGGGUAGUGGCUUACCAAGGCUUUGACGGGUAGCCGGCCUGAGAGGGUGACCGGCCACAUUGGGCCUGAGAUACGGCCCAGAGUCCUACGGGAGGCAGCAGUGGGGAAUAUUGCACAAUGGGCGGAAGCCUGAGGCAGCAACGCCGCGUGCGGGAUGACGGCCUUCGGGUUGUAAACCGCUUUGGCCUGUGACGAAGCGUGAGUGACGGUAAUGGGUAAAGAAGCACCGGCUAACUACGUG